This 253-nucleotide ribosomal RNA is filed under the name uncultured bacterium. Its description in RNAcentral is "partial 16S ribosomal RNA". It matches the Rfam family "Bacterial small subunit ribosomal RNA", at positions 524 to 776 of the family's 1533-position model. The record is from RNAcentral.
UACGGAGGGAGCUAGCGUUAUUCGGAAUCACUGGGCGUAAAGCGCACGUAGGCGGAUUUUUAAGUCAGGGGUGAAAUCCCGAGGCUCAACCUCGGAACUGCCUUUGAUACUGGAGAUCUUGAGUCCGGAAGAGGUAAGUGGAACUGCGAGUGUAGAGGUGAAAUUCGUAGAUAUUCGCAAGAACACCAGUGGCGAAGGCGGCUUACUGGUCCGGAACUGACGCUGAGGUGCGAAAGCGUGGGGAGCAAACAGG